GCAACCCUGAUCUAGCCAUGCCGCGUGUGUGAUGAAGGCCCUAGGGUCGUUAAGCACUUUUGCCAGAGAUGAUAAUGACAGUAUCUGGUAAAGAAACCCCGGCUAACUCCGUGCCAGCAGCCGCGGUAAUACGGAGGGGGUUAGCGUUGUUCGGAAUUACUGGGCGUAAAGCGCACGUAGGCGGAUUAGUAAGUUAGAGGUGAAAUCCCAGGGCUCAACCCUGGAACUGCCUUUAAUACUGCUAGUCUUGAGUUCGAGAGAGGUAAGUGGAAUUCCGAGUGUAGAGGUGAAAUUCGUAGAUAUUCGGAGGAACACCAGUGGCGAAGGCGGCUUACUGGCUCGAUACUGACGCUGAGGUGCGAAAGUGUGGGGAGCAAACAGGAUUAGAUACCCUGGUAGUCCACACCGUAAACGAUGAAUGCCAGACGUCAGCAAGUAUACUGGUUGGUGUCACACCUAACGGAUUAAGCAUUCCGCCUGGGGAGUACGGUCGCAAGAUUAAAACUCAAAGGAAUUGACGGGGCCCCCAAGCGGUGACAUGUGGUUAAUUCAACACCGCAAACCUACAACCUGCAUCUGGCUCUACAAAUGGACGUCCUUUCGGACGCAUGAAGUCUAUGGUUCGAACUCGUCUAAUGUCGUAAUCGGACACCACCAUUUUAUUCCCAGUACUGGCCUUAACCGCCGUACGAGAAGUUGAUACUAACCAGGCCUCGUGGGCCCU
RNAcentral lists this ribosomal RNA (724 nucleotides) under uncultured bacterium. RNAcentral's name for it is "bacterial SSU rRNA". It matches the Rfam family "Bacterial small subunit ribosomal RNA", at positions 377 to 991 of the family's 1533-position model. The record is from RNAcentral.